Molecule: ribosomal RNA, 497 nt
Filed under: uncultured bacterium
Lineage: Bacteria
Description: bacterial SSU rRNA
Rfam family: Bacterial small subunit ribosomal RNA
Source: RNAcentral
GACGAGUCCAGAGAGUUUGAUCCUGGCUCAGGAUUAACGCUGGCGGCGUGCCUAAUACAUGCAAGUCGAAUGGUAGCAAUACCAUGGCGAACGGGUGAGUAACACGUAGGUAACCUGUCUUUAAGACGAGGAUAACCGUUGGAAACGACGGAUAAUACUCGAUAGGUGAUUUGAGGGCAUCCUUAGAUCAUUAAAGAUUUAUCACUUAGAGAGGGGCCUGCGGCGCAUUAGCUAGAUGGCGGUGUAAUGGACCACCAUGGCGAUGAUGCGUAGCCGGACUGAGAGGUUGAACGGCCACAAUGGAACUGAGAACGGUCCAUACUCCUACGGGAGGCAGCAGUAGGGAAUUUUCGGCAAUGGGCGAAAGCCUGAACCCGAGCAACGCCGCGUGAACGAAGAAGUAUUUCGGUAUGUAAAGUUCUUUUAUCGGGGAAGAAAAUAUUCAAAUUGACGGUACCUGAUGAACAAGCUCCGGCUAACUACGUGCCAGCCGCCGC